Molecule: ribosomal RNA, 253 nt
Filed under: uncultured bacterium
Lineage: Bacteria
Description: partial 16S ribosomal RNA
Rfam family: Bacterial small subunit ribosomal RNA
Source: RNAcentral
UACGGAGGGGGCUAGCGUUGUUCGGAAUUACUGGGCGUAAAGCGCACGUAGGCGGCUUUGUAAGUUAGAGGUGAAAGCCCAGGGCUUAACCCUGGAAUUGCCUUUAAGACUGCAUCGCUAGAAUUGUGGAGAGGUGAGUGGAAUUCCUAGUGUAGAGGUGAAAUUCGUAGAUAUUAGGAAGAACACCAGUGGCGAAGGCGGCUCACUGGCCCGGUACUGACGCUGAGGCGCGAAAGCGUGGGGAGCAAACAGG